This 31-nucleotide non-coding RNA is filed under the name Homo sapiens (human). The record is from RNAcentral. Lineage: Eukaryota; Metazoa; Chordata; Mammalia; Primates; Hominidae.
UCAUAGUGUUUUUAGAACCCUGCAGGCCUCA